This is a small nucleolar RNA of Rhinopithecus roxellana (golden snub-nosed monkey), 103 nucleotides long. RefSeq annotates it as small nucleolar RNA U13. The record is from RefSeq and is a predicted model, not a curated record. The transcript has a single exon. NCBI's taxonomy places the organism in Eukaryota, Metazoa, Chordata, Mammalia, Primates, Cercopithecidae.
AUCCCUUUGUAGUUCACGAGCAUGGUGAUUGGGUGCUCAAGCCCAUAUGUGAGGUGUGUCUCCCUCAAACCUUGUUACAACGUCGGCACAGCAUCAUCUGACG